RNAcentral lists this ribosomal RNA (492 nucleotides) under uncultured bacterium. RNAcentral describes it as "partial 16S ribosomal RNA". It matches the Rfam family "Bacterial small subunit ribosomal RNA", at positions 29 to 507 of the family's 1533-position model. The record is from RNAcentral.
AGUGAACGCUGGCGGUAGGCCUAACACAUGCAAGUCGAACGGCAGCACAGUAAGAGCUUGCUCUUACGGGUGGCGAGUGGCGGACGGGUGAGGAAUACAUCGGAAUCUACUUUUUCGUGGGGGAUAACGUAGGGAAACUUACGCUAAUACCGCAUACGACCUACGGGUGAAAGCAGGGGAUCUUCGGACCUUGCGCGAUUGAAUGAGCCGAUGUCGGAUUAGCUAGUUGGCGGGGUAAAGGCCCACCAAGGCGACGAUCCGUAGCUGGUCUGAGAGGAUGAUCAGCCACACUGGAACUGAGGCACGGUCCAGACUCCUACGGGAGGCAGCAGUGGGGAAUAUUGGACAAUGGGCGCAAGCCUGAUCCAGCCAUACCGCGUGGGUGAAGAAGGCCUUCGGGUUGUAAAGCCCUUUUGUUGGGAAAGAAAAGCGGCAGGUUAAUACCCCGCUGUUCUGACGGUACCCAAAGAAUAAGCACCGGCUAACUUCGUG